RNAcentral lists this ribosomal RNA (496 nucleotides) under uncultured bacterium. RNAcentral describes it as "partial 16S ribosomal RNA". It matches the Rfam family "Bacterial small subunit ribosomal RNA", at positions 28 to 507 of the family's 1533-position model. The record is from RNAcentral.
GACGAACGCUGGCGGCGUGCCUAAUACAUGCAAGUUGAGCGAUGAAGAUUGGUGCUUGCACCAAUUUGAAGAGCAGCGAACGGGUGAGUACGCGUGGGGAAUCUGCCUUUGAGCGGGGGACAACAUUUGGAAACGAAUGCUAAUACCGCAUAACAACUUUAAACAUAAGUUUUAAGUUUGAAAGAUGCAAUUGCAUCACUCAAAGAUGAUCCCGCGUUGUAUUAGCUAGUUGGUGAGGUAAAGGCUCACCAAGGCGAUGAUACAUAGCCGACCUGAGAGGGUGAUCGGCCACAUUGGGACUUAGACACGGCCCAAACUCCUACGGGAGGCAGCAGUAGGGAAUCUUCGGCAAUGGACGAAAGUCUGACCGAGCAACGCCGCGUGAGUGAAGAAGGUUUUCGGAUCGUAAAACUCUGUUGGUAGAGAAGAACGUUGGUGAGAGUGGAAAGCUCAUCAAGUGACGGUAACUACCCAGAAAGGGACGGCUAACUACGUG